AACCUGCCCUUCAGAGGGGGACGAACAGUUGGAAACGACUGCUAAUACCGCAUACGAUCCAACCUCGGCAUCGAGGAUGGAUGAAAGGUGGCCUCUAUUUAUAAGCUAUCACUGAAGGAGGGGAUUGCGUCUGAUUAGCUAGUUGGAGGGGUAACGGCCCACCAAGGCAAUGAUCAGUAGCCGGUCUGAGAGGAUGAACGGCCACAUUGGGACUGAGACACGGCCCAGACUCCUACGGGAGGCAGCAUG
Molecule: ribosomal RNA, 249 nt
Filed under: uncultured bacterium
Lineage: Bacteria
Description: partial 16S ribosomal RNA
Rfam family: Bacterial small subunit ribosomal RNA
Source: RNAcentral